UCUCAACUCUCAUAGAAACCAUUGUGAUCACAGAGAGUAGUAUAUAGAUAUCUGUAGCCUGUAGGUAAAACUCCAAUGGAGGAGAAUGGAGAAAUUCUCAUAUUCUCAAACAAGAAGAGAAUUAAAAAGCAGCAUGAACAGAAAAGUUUGUGCUCACAGCGAAUCAGCGAAUUACCAGAUUUCCACAGUAUGAUUCACCUUCAAUUUACGAGGAUAUUCCUGGAAGCAGCUGGAUAGGAAUGGGCAAUCAAUGGGAUUUGUCCGUCAUGACAUCCAGCCAAGAGAAAUUAGAAAAAUCCACUUUCCUUGAAAAAGACAUAAGAAAUCUGGAACUAGAUUUUUCCAAAGGAAAAGGAUUUGAGCUUACUAAGCAGAUCAGAAAUGUGGAGUGACGCAUGCUGAUAUUGCUUAACCGCUGGUUGGAUGUUUAUCACUGCUCAAGAUACACCAAUUAAGAAGACUCAAUUACACCAAGCAAAAACAAACUGAUGUGCUGAUGUCUUCCUGAAGGUCAUAUGAAGUGGCAGAACAAAAUCAGAUAAUGUGUAUUUCUUCAAACCAUUGAUUGUACAUGUCACGUGUCGCUUACAAGUCAGAUUAGUGAUUUACCAGAUGUCUGUUAUUAUUUUUCAUUGCAAUUUGUAGUUUUGCUAUCUCUUUACUUAUUAUGAAGAAAUCAACAAUUAAUGCUGAGUUGUAUUUAGAAAGGAAGAUUGUGUUUUGCACUUUGUAUAUUAAAUCUUGAAUUA
This is a long non-coding RNA of Quercus lobata, 749 nucleotides long. RefSeq lists it as uncharacterized. The record is from RefSeq and is a predicted model, not a curated record. The transcript has 3 exons. Lineage: Eukaryota; Viridiplantae; Streptophyta; Magnoliopsida; Fagales; Fagaceae.